CAGUCGCCGCGGUAAUACAGAGGGUGCGAGCGUUAAUCGGAUUUACUGGGCGUAAAGCGUGCGUAGGCGGCUUCUUAAGUCGGAUGUGAAAUCCCUGAGCUUAACUUAGGAAUUGCAUUCGAUACUGGGAAGCUAGAGUAUGGGAGAGGAUGGUAGAAUUCCAGGUGUAGCGGUGAAAUGCGUAGAGAUCUGGAGGAAUACCGAUGGCGAAGGCAGCCAUCUGGCCUAAUACUGACGCUGAGGUACGAAAGCAUGGGGAGCAAACAGGAUUAGAUACCCUCGUAGUCCCUGUCUCUUAUAC
This 301-nucleotide ribosomal RNA is filed under the name uncultured bacterium. Its description in RNAcentral is "partial 16S ribosomal RNA". It matches the Rfam family "Bacterial small subunit ribosomal RNA", at positions 509 to 807 of the family's 1533-position model. The record is from RNAcentral.